This is a non-coding RNA of Syntrophothermus lipocalidus DSM 12680, 423 nucleotides long. It matches the Rfam family "Bacterial RNase P class A". From Rfam's summary of the family: Ribonuclease P (RNase P) is a ubiquitous endoribonuclease, found in archaea, bacteria and eukarya as well as chloroplasts and mitochondria. Lineage: Bacteria; Bacillati; Bacillota; Clostridia; Eubacteriales; Syntrophomonadaceae. The record is from Rfam.
CGAGUAAAUCAGAUAGCCGCGAGGUUACACCUCGAGGAAAGUCGGGGCUCCGCAGGGCAAGGUGCUGGGUAACACCCAGUGGGGGCGACCCCAAGGAUAGUGCCACAGAAACAAACCGCCCGGCACUCAAUGUACGGUUCAAACGAAUUCAAGGACCUCCUCCCGUGUUGCGUUACGAUGCGCAUCUUAACAGGAUUGAACUGUGCAUUGAGUGCCGGGUAAGGGUGGAAAGGUGAGGUAAGAGCUCACCAGCAGUUAGGCGACUAACUGGCUCGGUAAACCCCACCUGGAGCAAGACCAAAUAGGGAAGCUAUGGAGUGGCCCGCUCCGCUUCCGGGUUAGGUCGCUGGAGGUGUCAGGCAACUGGCAUCCUAGAUAGAUGGCUAUCUAAUACAGAACCCCGCUUAUAGAUUUGCUCGCACC